UACGUAGGGGGCAAGCGUUAUCCGGAUUUAUUGGGUUUAAAGGGUGCGCAGGCGGAUUUUUAAGUCAGCGGUCAAAUCGUGGGGCUCAACCCCAUCCAGCCGUUGAAACUGGGGGCCUUGAGUGGGCGAGAAGUACGCGGAAUGCGCGGUGUAGCGGUGAAAUGCAUAGAUAUCGCGCAGAACUCCGAUUGCGAAGGCAGCGUACCGGCGCCAGACUGACGCUGAGGCACGAAAGCGUGGGGAUCGAACAGG
This 252-nucleotide ribosomal RNA is filed under the name uncultured Bacteroidales bacterium. RNAcentral's name for it is "partial 16S ribosomal RNA". It matches the Rfam family "Bacterial small subunit ribosomal RNA", at positions 524 to 776 of the family's 1533-position model. Lineage: Bacteria; Pseudomonadati; Bacteroidota; Bacteroidia; Bacteroidales. The record is from RNAcentral.